GAUGAACGCUGGCGGCGUGCCUAACACAUGCAAGUCGAGCGAAGCGCUUAAAUUAGAUUUCUUCGGAAUGACGAUUUUUGUGACUGAGCGGCGGACGGGUGAGUAACGCGUGGGUAACCUGCCUCAUACAGGGGGAUAACAGUUAGAAAUGACUGCUAAUACCGCAUAAGACCCCAGCUUCGCAUGAAGCGGUGGUAAAAACUCCGGUGGUAUGAGAUGGACCCGCGUCUGAUUAGCUAGUUGGUAAGGUAACGGCUUACCAAGGCGACGAUCAGUAGCCGACCUGAGGGGGUGACCGGCCACAUUGGGACUGAGACACGGCCCAGACUCCUACGGGAGGCAGCAGUGGGGAAUAUUGCACAAUGGGGGAAACCCUGAUGCAGCGACGCCGCGUGAAGGAUGAAGUAUUUCGGUAUGUAAACUUCUAUCAGCAGGGAAGAAAGUGACGGUACCUGACUAAGAAGCCCCGGCUAACUACGUG
Molecule: ribosomal RNA, 481 nt
Filed under: uncultured bacterium
Lineage: Bacteria
Description: partial 16S ribosomal RNA
Rfam family: Bacterial small subunit ribosomal RNA
Source: RNAcentral